Molecule: ribosomal RNA, 442 nt
Filed under: uncultured bacterium
Lineage: Bacteria
Description: bacterial SSU rRNA
Rfam family: Bacterial small subunit ribosomal RNA
Source: RNAcentral
GAGCGGNACCGCCUUCGGGGAUACCGAGCAGCGAACGGGUGAGUACACGUGGGUGACCUGCCUUAANCUCUGGGAUAAGCCUGGGAAACUGGGUCUAAUACUGGAUAUGACUCCAUGCUGCAUGGUGUGGGGUGGAAAGCCUUGUGCGGCUAGAGAUGGGCCCGCGGCCUAUCAGCUUGUUGGUGGGGUGAUGGCCUACCAAGGCGACGACGGGUAGCCGGCCUGAGAGGGCGAUCGGCCACUCUGGGACUGAUACACUGCCCAGACUCCUACGGGAGGCAUCAGUGGGGAAUCUUGCGCAAUGGGCGAAAGCCUGACUCAUCGACUCCGCGUGAGGGAUGACGGCCUUCGGGUUGUAAACCUCUUUCAGCCUUGACGAAUCGUAUGUGACUGUAUGGGCAUAAGAAUCACCGGCCAACUACGUGCCAGCAUCCGCGGUAAU